Long non-coding RNA from Andrographis paniculata, 1575 nucleotides. RefSeq lists it as uncharacterized. Lineage: Eukaryota; Viridiplantae; Streptophyta; Magnoliopsida; Lamiales; Acanthaceae. The transcript is spliced from 7 exons. The record is from RefSeq and is a predicted model, not a curated record.
AUUGGCGAAGGGUUCUUUGCAACCAAAUUUUUAAUAGCGUAUAUUCAUAUUCGGAGAGUCAGUUAUGCGGUUUUUUUAAAAUUUUUUUUUUUUCGGGGUUCAGCUUUUCUGCAAAUUCUAUCUUUCAUAGAAUUUAUUCACAAACCCACCGGAAAUAGGUGUUCCAUUCACGGCGAUGGCAAUGUUGUUGUAGAAAAGUCCACUACUUUCAUGAUUUCCUUAGUGACCAGAGCCAAGAGUUUUGCUGGGGUUUCCUGCCCUCAGCCGGCCACCCCCAAUUUGAGGUCUGGUAAGAAGAAUAGAUGCAUCAACAAAACCUGGGAAAGUUGUCAAUUGAUCGAAAAAAUCUGGGAAAGUUUCCAUGAUGUCAAAUUGAUGGACAGGAUUAUGAUAUGUUCCCUUAAACUUGAGAUAGUCCAGCCUCAGCCUACACGCAUUACCAAGAUCUUCUCAGAUUAGGGUAGCUGCUGUGAAGUGAUCGAUCAUGAGAUCAGAUGCAAUAUCUUUUCUCACGGUCUUCCAACUUCUGCAAAUGUGGCAAAGCUUAUUUUCGAUACAGAGAAUCAUGAAUAAGGUUCAGAUUUCAAGUUGAGGUUAUGGGAUAUAGAAUCUGGGUGCAAUACACUCGUGAACUUUGAAACAACACGUCUACGGCUAUUCAAAUGGCUGUGUCCCAAGACUAUCUCUUGCUUUUGUUUCAUGCAUUCCAGCCACAAUAUAUGAAGCUAGGGAGGGUAGAUAUGGACCUGUUUUUAAGGUUUGUAAAACAGUCGAAAGGCCGAGAUAUUCGAAAUUAUUAAAUGAAGGGCAGAUUACUCAACUCCUUAAGGUCACAUGCCGACGAAUCCAAGAAAGAGAGCCUGACAUUCUCCAGAUAGUGAUUACUACAGAGACAACCAGAGAUCCAUCUUUUUUGCUGCUCGAUGUAAAGGGCAACAUCGUGAUACUUUUGGAGCUCAAGCAGUUUAUCAACUUGUGCACACUGGAAUUUCACCCGGACUUCUACAUUCGAUAAUCAAGCAUGCAAACUUGGAACACCGACUUGUAAGACGAUGAACAAGUUGAUUCUGAUUUGAAUUAGCUAGCUUAUUAUAAAUUGGUAAUUGAAGUUCAAUUUUACAUAUAGGAAAACCAAGAUGGUGCCUGUUCCUUUUUUGAGCAAACUAUAGAUUGAAAAAGGAAAGGAGCAGGCACAGACUUUUCCAUUGUAGUUUGCACAAUAUUCAUGCUUCAUAUACUUGGUAUGCUUGAUCUUUCAAAGUUUUCUUGGCUCUUUUCCUCAAUAUUAGAUUCCAAGUAGCUGAAUGCAGUGCUGAUUUUCAAUGCACAAUAUUUUAGCACUAUGUACUUCUCUGUUAUGCUGUAACUUGUGCAACAUGUACAUUAAUGUUGGCAAUCGAGAAGGUAAAAAUUUCCCAACGCACAAGAACUCUCUGAUAUUUUUCUCACCGUGUUUUCAAACCAGUUCUUACAAAGCAAAUAAACCUAGGUGUACCCAUAAGAAUAUUGUCUAACCGCAUUCCAAUUAAAAAAAACCCAAUUCAAAACAAUUACUACCUAAGAGGAGCAAUUAGA